AGGUAGUUGCAACUAGGAAAGAAGAAAGACAUGUUAAAAUACAGACUGCUCAGGUAGUUCUCAUUUUGCUACAAUCUUAUUAAUGAUGUUUUGGGCUUCUGCACAAGUAAUCAUGCUGAAUUCAUGGUGUAUAUACGUUAAUUCAGUUUGUUGUUGUAUUUUAUUUAUGUACCGUUAUCACUUGAUAAUCUUCUGUACUUUUAGAGACUUAGCCAGACUUUUAGAGAUUUGUAAAUUUACCUGUUUCAAUAUCCUCAUGUUAUAUCCUAGGAUAUGUAGUAUCUACUUUGUGCAUUUGAAAAUCUUUAACAUUGAUAAAUUUUUAUUGCUUAUGUAUAUGAAUACAUUUGGCUUCAUGGUUAUCCAACGAGGCAGGAUUUAUUAAUUUUUCAUAAAAAAAAUUAAAUAAUUGCAUCAGUUAAGUUUUGACUGGUAUGGAAUGCACAGGUAUGUGAUGUCCCGAUGAUAAUAAUUUUGGGUUUUAGAGUGUUUAAAAUUCCACUUACCUUGCACCUUCUUUAUAUAUUUUGAUGUAUGAGGCAGAGUACUGACUGGCCUUCAAUUGUUUCAUGGCUCAAAAAUUCCCUUACUAUCACUUAAGCAGUUAAGCUUGAAGAGUUACUAAGACAAAAAGUAAUAUUAUAGCUCUGCAUGGAAUCAAUAUGCGAUUGAUGUCUAACGUCUGAUGUAUAUUUUAUUCAAACUCCUCUGGCUAUCAAUUAUAUUUUUUUCUUUCUUUGCUCAUCUCUUCUGUGAGUUUCAUUGGUUAACAUUUAUUGUUGGAUUUGAUUGUGAUAGAUUUACAUCAGAUUAGCAUUUCAAUCGUUGGUGGGGCUGAUGGAACAAGUCCUUCCAAGAUGAGAGCGUGAGUUCAACUUAGUUAAUAAGUCUUCUUACAUAGUACUAUUAUUAGAUGCAAGCUAUGAUGACUGGGACAGUAGUUGUUUAAUUCUGAAAGAGGAUAAUGUAAUUCUAAUUAAAUAAUCUCUUAUGAUCCUCUCUAAU
RNAcentral lists this long non-coding RNA (1005 nucleotides) under Panax ginseng (ginseng). RNAcentral's name for it is "long non-coding RNA (PGIN_LNC002352)". Lineage: Eukaryota; Viridiplantae; Streptophyta; Magnoliopsida; Apiales; Araliaceae. The record is from RNAcentral.